Manihot esculenta (cassava) is the source of this 8788-nucleotide RNA transcript. RefSeq lists it as uncharacterized. The record is from RefSeq and is a predicted model, not a curated record. The transcript is spliced from 10 exons. Lineage: Eukaryota; Viridiplantae; Streptophyta; Magnoliopsida; Malpighiales; Euphorbiaceae.
UAUUUAGUUUAAAAUUCAAGCAAUAAUUAAGUCAUCGCUCGUCAGCUCCUACAUUCCCUUAUUCAGUAUUCACUAACCUUUACUCAUCCAUAACCAGCACUCCUCCAUCUUUCUGUUAGUUCUCUGCUUCCUCUCUUCAUUUGGCUCUCUAAUUCUUUAGCGACUGUUUUGCUUUUCUGUUGAUUUCAGCAGUCCUUUCUUGUCUUUAUUUUCUUUUAUUUUGUUCGACUCUGAUUUCUUGGUUUAUUUUGUUUUUGCUCUGAGAUUUCAAAAAAAAAAAAAAAAAAUCAAAAUGGUUCUCGAUAUCUUUAUCUCCAUCUUCACUGAGGUCAUUAAAGAACCCAUCAUGGAAUUUGUUGUUGUCCCAAUCAAACGACAUAUCAGCUACCCUUUCACCUACAAGAGCAAGGUUGAGAAACUCCAUCAUGAGUCUGAGAAAUUGAAGAACAGAAAAGUCAAGUUGCAGCGGGCUGUUGAGGAGGCUACAAGGAAAGGGGAAGAGAUCGAUGAAAGUGUCAACAAGUGGCUGAACGAUGCAGGCAAAGCAAUUGAAGAAGCUGAGGAAUGUAUCAAAGGCGAAGAACAAGCGAAAAAGAGGUGUUUCGUUGGAUUAUGUCCUGAUUUGAAGACACGCUACCACCUUAGCAAGAAAGCAGAGAAGAAAGCUCUGGCAAUUCAUGAGCUUGCGAGUGAAGACGACCAUAAUCCAAUUUCCUUCCCUCCCCAUCCACAGCAGAUAGUUGCCCCGUCAGUAUAUGCUCGUGAGGGCUUGAAUUCAAGAGAGUUGUUCUUGGAGAAAGUUAUGGAUGCACUAUUAGAUCCAGAUCUUAAUAUGAUCGGGGUGUAUGGACUUGGAGGUGUGGGUAAGACCACCCUAGCAAAACAGGUCCACAGAAAAGCUCUUGAAGGGAAGCGAUUCGGCGUCGUCGCUAUGGUUGCUGUAGGUCAAACACCAGAACUCCGAAGAAUUCAAUCGGAGAUCGCUGAUAUCCUGGGCUUGGAAUUUAAGUCGGAGGAAAUACCUGGAAGAGCUAAUCGGCUAUAUGAGAGGUUGAAGAAAGAGUUGGAGAAAGAGAAGACAGAGUUGGAGAAAGAGAAGAAGGUACUUAUAAUUCUUGAUGAUGUUUGGAAAAAACUUGAUUUGAAUGCCGUAGGAAUUCCCUUUGGAGAUGGUUUCAAAGGAUGCAAAAUACUUCUCACCUCAAGGAGCCAAGACGUGUUAUCUCGCAAGAUGGGCACACAGCAAGAAUUCAAGCUCGACGUUCUACAGGACGAAGAGGCCCGGAGUUUGUUUGAAAUAACUGUAGCAGGUGCUAAAGAUUCAGAAUUGCCCCCUAUCGCCGCAGAAAUUGCUAAAAAAUGUGCAGGAUUGCCUCUUCUACUGCUCACAGUGGCGACAGACUUGAGAAACAGAGAGUUGUACGCGUGGAAUGAUAAGCUCAAUCAGCUAUCCGAGUUUGACAACGAAGAAAUAUAUUCGAAAGUGCACGCGAUUCUGGAGUCAAGCUACAAUAAUUUGUGUAGCAAUGAAGUCAAGUCGUUUUUCUUGCUCUGUGGUCUGAUAGGACAAUCUAAUAUUGAAAUCCAGUCCUUGCUGAAAUACGUUAUGGGUCUUAGUUUAUUCAAGAACAUUUCCACUGUCCAGGGAGCAAGAAACAAAGUAUAUAGUUUGAUUGAUACCCUUAAAGCGCAGAGCUUAUUGCUAGAUGGCGACAUGUAUGGAUUCGUUAAAAUUCAUGAUGUUGUUCGAGAUACUGCUCUCAAUAUUGCAUCUAGAGAGCAACAUGCGUUUAUAGUUACAAGUGGCAUGGAAUUGGUGAAAUUCCCAAAUAAGGAUUGCACCAGAAUUUCUCUGCCGUAUUGUGAAAUUGAAAAUCUCCCCGAAGGAUGGGAGUGCCCAAAAGCAGAGGCACUAUUCCUUUUCACAGAAGUUUUUUGUUUGGGAAUUCCACAUCAGUUUUUCAAGGGCAUUAGAAACCUGGAAGUAGUGGAUUUUACUGGGAUCCAUUUUGUCUCCCUCCCUUCAUCGCUUGCUUUCCUAUCCAACCUUCAUACCCUUUGCUUGCAUCGAUGCCAACUGGACGACUUAGCUAUCAUUGGAGACUUGCAGCAACUACGAGUUCUUAGUUUUGCUAACUCCUACGUUGUUGAGUUGCCCAGACAAAUAGAGCAACUGGCUCGACUAAAAGUCUUAGAUGUGAGCAAUUGUUCCAAACUCAAAAUGAUUCCAGCAAAUGCCUUAUCAAAGCUGUCGGAGCUCGAAGAACUGUACAUGAGUAACAGCUUUGUUGAGUGGGAGGCCGAUGGGAACAAUGCAAGCCUUGCGGAGUUGGAAAAGUUGUCUCAGUUGACUACCUUGGAAAUGCAAAUACUGGAUGACAAGAUAUUACCAAAACACUUGUUCUCCAAUGGCCGCUUGCAGACCUUUAGAAUACUAAUAGGGGAUAACUGGGACUGGGAUGACAACUAUAAAACCUCCAGAGCGCUGAAACUUAAGCUCAAGGCAAGCAUUCAUUCAGGAUACGGGAUUAAAGUGCUAUUGAGGGAGACGGAAGAUUUAUGCUUAGAUGAAGUGAGGGAGGCUGAGAACUUGUUGUAUGAUAUUGACGGGGACGGCUUUCCAAAAUUGAAGCAUCUCCGAGUUCAAAAUAAUCAUGCCAUUCAACAUAUCAUCAAUUCGAUGAAGUGGGCUGUAUGUGAUGCCUUUCCAAUUCUAGAGUCCUUGAUUUUGGAAAAUUUGAUGAAGUUGGAAAAGAUCUAUCAUGGUCGACUCGCAGCAGGAUCUUUUAAUAAAUUAGAAAUUUUGCAAGUAAAAAAUUGUCAGAGAUUGACGCAUCUCUUCUCAUUAUCUGCUGUCAAGUGUCUUUUGCAACUACAGGAAAUGAAAGUGGAAGAUUGUCCUCAGAUGAAAGCUAUUGUUAUUGAUGAAAGUGAAAGCAGUAAUGAAGUGUUUGAGUUCAAUGGCUUGCGCUCCUUAAAUUUGCGAAAUCUUCCAAAUCUUAGAACUUUUCACAGCCCAUUGAAAAUUGAAGAAUUUCUAUCAGAACGGGAUGAUGAUACUCAUUUAUCAUUUUUUAGCAGAACGGUUUCUUUCCCCAACUUGGAGCAUCUUGAAUUAAAUUCAGUUGGUUGUGAAAAGAUAUGGCACGACCAACUUUCUGCAACUUCUUCAAAAUUAGAGAGCUUGUCUGUGUGUUGUUGCCACGAGUUGAAGCAUUUAUUUACAACUUCAAUUGUUAAAAGACUCUUGCAACUCAAAACACUUCAAAUUUAUAUUUGUAGUUCCAUGGAAGAGAUAAUACUGACUGAGGAAUUUAUAGAAGAGGAAGAUGAGAGGAUGAAUCAGAUACUCUUCCCUAAAUUGAAUGAGCUGAGUCUAUAUGAUCUUCCAAAGUUGAUUAGAUUCUGCACUGGAUAUCAAAUUGAAUUUCAAUCUCUUAGAUACUUGGACAUAAGCUAUUGCAAUGCAUUGAUGGGCUUGGUCCCCAGUGUCCCUCAUAAAGGCAUGAUGGAAAAACAAGAUGACACAGAGAUAAAUCAGAAUGCUGAAAUUCAAUCUCUUUUCAACAAAAUGGUUGGUUUUCCUAACUUGGAGAGAUUGAGUCUCUCCGGACUAAAUGAGUUCAAAAGGAUAUGGCACAGUCCACUUGCGGCAAAUUCCUUCUUUAAACUGAAAUCAUUGAAUGUUGUUUAUUGCCAGAAAUUGAUGGCUGUUUUUCCAUCAAAUGACUUAGAAAGAUUCCGAAGAAUGCAGGAGUUGAUUGUGAGCAAUUGUGCUUCAUUGCAAGAGAUAUAUCAACUUGAAGGGUCCAAUGUUGAUGAAGCAUUUGAGUUGAGAAAAUUAAAUAUAAGUGAACUGGGAUCGUUGAAAUAUGUAUGGAGGAAGGAUCCACAAGCAGUUUUCAGUUUUCAAAAUUUGAAAUCAGUUACAGUUUCACAUUGUGACGUUCUAAACUAUCUGUUUCCAGCCUCCAUUGCUGAUGGUCUUUUGCAACUUGAAGAGCUUACAAUAACUACGUGUGGGGUUGAGGAGAUUAUUGCAGAGGCGGAAGAUGUGGAACAAGCCCCUUAUUAUUGUUUUAAAUUUCCUCAACUAACAUUUCUUGAACUUACAGAUCUAUCAGAAUUAAGGAGUUGGUAUCCAGGAACACAUAUUCUUGAAUUGCAGAAAUUAACAAGUUUGAAUGUUCGUAAUUGUAACAAAAUAAUAAAAUUCAGUUUGCAGGAAAUAGACGAAGAGGGCAAACGACCCCUACUUUUUUUGAAAAAGAUGAGUCCCAACUUGGAGGAAUUGACUUUAGAGCACAAGGACUUGAUUGCGAUACAGCAAGGACAAUUCUUUUCUAAACUCAAAAUGCUUACUUUGAUCAACUUACAGAACAAAUCAUGCCCUUUUAUAAUUGGUUUCCUUGAAAGGUUAUAUUCUGUGGAAACAAUUUUGGUAAAAGGUUAUAAUACUUCAGAAGAGUUAGAAGAGUUGUUCUCAUAUGAAGGACUUGCCGGAAAAGAAGAAGAACAUGCCAGGACACUUGCACGAGUGAAAAAUUUGAAGCUAGAUGUCGUUUAUAAUUUAAAGCAUAUAUGGGACCCAGACUCCGGACUGAAACCACUUCUUCAGUAUCUCGAGACUUUGAGUGUAUCGGGUUGUCAUAGUUUGAUCAACGUAGCACCAUCCUCAUCAUCUUUCCAAAAUCUAGCAACUCUUGAAGUGAGUUACUGUGCAGGAUUGGCAAACUUGAUAACAGCGUCCACAGCCAAAUCCAUGGUGCAACUCACCAAAAUGACAGUACGAGGGUGCAAAAUGAUGACAGAAAUAGUGACCAGCGAUGGAGAUGAUCAUACAGAGGAUGAGAUUAUUAAUUUUGACAAACUGAAAUGUUUGGAACUUGAUGAUCUGCCUGGUCUCAUCAGCUUUUGCUCCGGCAAUAAUGCCUUCAAUUUUCCAGCUUUAGAAAAUGUUACCGUCAAGCGAUGCUCCCGGAUGAAGUUUUUCGCUUUCGGAGAUCUAAAUACACCAAAGCUACGAGGAAUACUCCUGGGAGAUCAACAGCGUUGGGAGGGAAACCUUAAUGCAACACUAGCAGAAAUGAGAGUUGACCAAUAUUUUAAAGCAUCUAAAUUUCCUGAGCUCUGGCAUGAUGGGAUGCAAGGGAGACUCUUACGCAAUGUGGAAAGGCUUGAGGUGGAUAAAUGUGCAAUGUAUAACAAAGCUAUACCAUCCAAUGUACUGGUGUUUUUAAACAACUUGAAAAAGCUUGAGGUGAAAGACUGUGAUUCAGCAGAUGUAGUAUUUGAUUUGGAAGGGGUAUCAGCUGAUGAUGGGCUGCUUCCCCAACUAUGUGAAUUGAAAUUAACAAGUCUGCCAAUGUUGAGACAUUUAUGGAAUAAGGAGCCUCAGGGAAUUUUGGAGUUCAAGAACCUAAGGUUGCUCCAAGUUGGAAACUGUAGCAGCUUGAAGUAUAUAUUUACUGAGUCGAUAGCAUUGUGCCUCUUGCAACUUGAAAAGAUAGAGAUAUACAAUUGUAAGAUGAUUGAAGGAAUCAUAGAAAAGGAAGAAAUUGAGGAAGCAGCUGAUAAGAUGAUAUUGCCUUCGUUGAAAUCUGUAGUCCUUAAAUGUUUGCCUAGAUUCUCCAGAUUCUGUUCAGGAUGGAGUAAUGUGGAAUGUCCAUUGUUGGAGGAGAUGAGCAUACAUAAAUGUCCAAGCUUAAAGAAUAUCUUUGCCACACAGACACUGGUGAACACAAUUAAUGAGAUGUUUCCAAAUUUGGAAAAGUUUUCGUUAGACAAGAAGUCUACCAUAACCAUACUUGGAUUUCAAUUUCCAACAGGCUUCUUUUCCAAAGUAAAAGUUCUUGAAUUGAGUUUCUUUCAAAACAAAUAUCAUGUUCCUCUUUUUAGUUUACUUCCAAUAUUCCCCAAUCUCGAAAGAUUUGAAGUUCUUGAUUCUUCUCUCAACGAGCUACUUCCAUUUGAAGGACUGGUUGGUGACCAAGAAGAUAUCACUACAAUCCCACAUAUAAGAGCUUUAACUCUUAAAAUUCUUCCUGGUUUGAAGCAUAUAUGGAACCCAGAUGGCCAACUGCAUGACCCAUUAUUUCAGUCUCUUGAGACUUUUGAGAUAUGGUUUUGUGGAAAUUUGAUUGUUUUAGCACCAUCCUCUGUGUCUUUGGGAAAUCUGAAAACUCUCAAAGUAUUUGGAUGCAAGACAUUGGCAAAUAUUUUUACAUCAGCCGCAGCCAAAAGUAUGGUACAACUUGAGACAUUGAUUGUAACACAUUGCAAUAUGUUGACCGAAAUAAUAGGAGGUGUUGAAGAGGAUGGAUCAACUGAUGAGAUUGUUUUCAGUAAAAUGAAAACAUUAAAACUUGAAGUUUUACAGAACCUCACAGGCUUCUGCUUGGGUAGUUACAUUUUCAAUUUCCCAUCUUUAGAACAGGUGACUGUUUUUAGAUGCCCCAAGUUGAGGAUUUUCACUGUCCGCAAGCCGAGCACACCAAAGAUACAUGGUGUAUUCACAGGCCACAGAUUGAGUCGAACAUUUCUUCAUUGGGAAGGCGAUCUCAAUGCGACCAUUGAACAGAUUUACAUGAAAUAUAUUGGAUUUAAAGAGAUAUAUGAUAUUCAACUCUCCAACUUUCCCAUGCUGAAAGAAAAAUGGCAUGGCCAAUUUCCAUUCAAGAACUUGAGGCACAUAUGGAGACUGGUGGUGGACGAGUGUGCAUUUUUCUCAAAUGCCAUAUCAUCAAAUCUACUAAAGCACUUGUCCCGUUUAAAUGAGUUGGCCGUAGAACGAUGUGAUUCAGUAGAAGACCUGUUUGAUUUAGAAGGACUAAAUGAUGAUGAAGAUAACGAUGGGUUAUUGAAGUCUUUAAAAGAAUUGAGGUUAAUUGAUUUGCCUAGAUUGAGGCAUGUGUGGAACAAGGAUCCUCAAGGAAUUUUAAGCUUUAGAAACCUAACAUUGUUGAAAGUUGAGAAUUGUAGCAGCUUGACUAAUAUAUUUACUCUGUCCAUGGCUUUGGGUCUUGUAAAGCUCAAACAUUUGGAAUUGAAAAGAUGUAAUUUGGUGGAACAUAUCAUCACAAAAGAAGCAGAAGAGGAAAUAGCAAAGGAUAAUACCAUAUUUCCAUCAAUGGAGUCCAUGAGUCUAGAGUGUUUGCCUAACUUGUCAAGUUUUUAUUCUGCAAGCGAUGUUCUGAAAUGCCCAUCCUUGAAAAGAAUUGAGAUAGUUGGCUGUCCAAACAUGGAGCUAUUGGCUUCUAAAUUUUGCAAAGAACAUGAUCUAAGCAUGAUUGCUGAGGGAAAUGGAGAAAGAAUUGCAGCCUCUUCUGGCGGGAAGGUUGUCAUCCCAAGUUUAGAAGAAUUAAGAGUGGAAUGUAACACCAUAAAGAAUCUGUGUUCUCAAACAUCUCAAGCUGAUUUCUUGUGUGGGCUGAAAGGUAUUGAGUUGACAUGUAUUUCUAGUGACUCUACACUUUUGCCAUCUCAGUUCUUUGAAAGUUUACCCAUUCUGGAAAAACUUGUUCUGAGUGAUGCUUCUUUCGAAGAUAUCAUUUUCUGUGAAGAGAUUAUUGGCGAGGAAAUACGUCCUCAAUCACUUGUGAAAUUGAAAGAACUAAGUUUGUCUAAACUGCCAAGGCUCAAGCAUCUAAGGGACGCCAAACUACUCUCAGUUUUCCAAUCUCUGGAGACUUUAAAUGUAAUGGAAUGUGGUAGAUUGCAAGUGUUAGUGGCAUCCUCUGUUUCUUUCCAAAAUCUAACAACACUGCAGGUAUCAAAUUGCCAAGGUCUAGUAAAUUUGUUGUCUUCUUCAACAGCGAGAAGUCUUGAACGACUUGAAAAAAUGAAGAUAGAGGAAUGUGAACUGAUACAAGAAGUUAUAGUGGCUGAAGUAGAUAAAGAAGAAGAAGAGAAUGAGAUUUGCUUCAACCAACUGAAAUGUUUGGAACUUCGACGUCUACCAAGUCUCUCUAGCUUCUGCUCUGGGAAUUUGACCUUUAAUUUCCCAUCUUUGGAAGAAGUAAUCCUUGUAGAAUGCCCCAAUAUGAAGAUUUUUGCUCAAGAAGUAAGCACGCCGCAGCUGUGGAGAGUUCAAACAGGAGAACAACUUAAAUAUGAUAAAGAAUGGAAAGACAUUAUAUAUUAUUGCAGUUGGGAGUGGAAAGGUACCCUUAAGAACACCAUUCAAGUUAUAUGUGAUUGGGAGUGGGAAGGCAGCCUUAACAACACCAUUGAAGCACUAUUUAAGGAAAAGAAAGCUGAAGAGACGGGGAUAGGCCAGUGUUCAUAUGGGUGAGCUUGAAUAAGGCCAAUGCUCAUAUUCUAUUUCACCAACUUCCUUGACUGCUAUACUUCUUCUCAUUCAAGACAGGUUUUUUGAGCGGAAGUUGAGAAAAGAAACAAAAAGAGACUGAAUUGAAGAAUUCUGGAAUUGAAAGGUUGCAAUCUUUGCCAAACUUGUAGUACAAGGCGAUAGGAAGUUUCAAAAAUAUAAUUUACCACAAAAAUAGGGAUAAAAUAGGAGUAGUAGAAUUUAUUUUAAAUUAUUAAAUUUUAUCUUUUUUGUGCCCGUAUAAAGGUUUCGAGAAUUAAAUCUAGACAUCAUAUUUUCUCCUUCUUCUCCUUCUCUCCUCUCUUGCCGUCGCCCCUGUCUUUUCUUCUCCAUUUUCUUCUUUUCUUUUCUUUUUUUUAGCUUUUGUAAUUUUAUUAUGGCGUUUAGAGGCUAAACAAUUAUUUUCAGUUGAAAGUUAAUUUCAAUUGAGGUUGUAUUCAAGUUGUGAGGUUAUGUGCU